GCGAAUGUGAUGGAAUGGUAGACAUGCCUCACUUAAGAUGAGUUGUCUUAUAGACGUAAGAGUUCAAGUCUCUUCAUUCGUA
Molecule: transfer RNA, 82 nt
Filed under: Naganishia liquefaciens
Lineage: Eukaryota; Fungi; Basidiomycota; Tremellomycetes; Filobasidiales; Filobasidiaceae
Also listed under: 2 other names
Description: Cryptococcus liquefaciens tRNA
Rfam family: tRNA
About the family: Transfer RNA (tRNA) molecules are approximately 80 nucleotides in length. Their secondary structure includes four short double-helical elements and three loops (D, anti-codon, and T loops).
Source: Rfam by way of RNAcentral